Molecule: ribosomal RNA, 650 nt
Filed under: uncultured bacterium
Lineage: Bacteria
Description: bacterial SSU rRNA
Rfam family: Bacterial small subunit ribosomal RNA
Source: RNAcentral
GGAUGAGCCUGCGCUCUAUUAGUUAGUUGGUGAGGUAAAGGCUUACCAAGGCGAUGAUAGAUAGGCGGCCUUAACGGGUGGUCGCCCACACUGGGAUUGAGAUACGGCCCAGACUCCUACGGGAGGCAGCAGUCGAGAAUAGUCUACAAUGGACGAAAGUCUGAUAGUGCGACGCCGCGUGAACGAAGAAUCCCUUCGGGGUGUAAAGUUCUUUUAUAUGUGAGCAAUGCUUCCUAGGUGAAUAGUUUAGGGAGAGAGAUAUUAGCAUAUGAAUAAGCAACGGCUAACUCCGUGCCAGCAGCCGCGGUAACACGGGGGUUGCUAGCGUUGUCCGGAAUUACUAGGCGUAAAGGGCAGGUAGGCGGAUAGAUAAGUUUGAUGUUAAAGGCGACGGCUUACCCGUCGUAAGGCAUUAGAUACUGUUUAUCUGGAAUACGGUUGGGGAAGACAGAAUUCCUGGUGUAGCGGUGGAAUGCGCAGAGAUCAGGAGGAAUACCAAAGGCGAAGGCAGUCUUCUAAGCCGUUAUUGACGCUAAACUGCGAAGGUGUGGGUAUCAAACAGGAUUAGAUACCCUGGUAGUCCACACAGUAAACUUUUAUCACUAGGUGUCGGGUUCGAAGAGGAUUCGGUGCCGUAGCUAACGCGAUAA